GUGCUUGCCUCGGAAGCACAUAUACUAAAAUUGGAAUGAUACAGAGAAGAUUAGCAUGGCCCCUGUGCAAAGAUGACAUACAAAUUUGUGAAGCAUUCCAUAGUUUU
RNAcentral lists this small nuclear RNA (107 nucleotides) under Catagonus wagneri (Chacoan peccary). The record is from RNAcentral. Lineage: Eukaryota; Metazoa; Chordata; Mammalia; Artiodactyla; Tayassuidae.